Molecule: ribosomal RNA, 500 nt
Filed under: uncultured bacterium
Lineage: Bacteria
Description: partial 16S ribosomal RNA
Rfam family: Bacterial small subunit ribosomal RNA
Source: RNAcentral
AUUGAACGCUGGCGGAAUGCUUUACACAUGCGAGUCGAACGGCAGCACGGACUUCGGUCUGGUGGCGAGUGGCGAACGGGUGAGUAAUGUAUCGGAACGUGCCCAGUCGUGGGGGAUAACGUAGUGAAAAUUACGCUAAUACCGCAUACGAUCUAUGGAUGAAAGCGGGGGAUCGCAAGACCUCGCGCGAUUGGAGCGGCCGAUAUCAGAUUAGGUAGUUGGUGGGGUAAAGGCCCACCAAGCCAACGAUCUGUAGCUGGUCUGAGAGGACGACCAGCCAGACUGGAACUGAGACACGGUCCAGACUCCUACGGGAGGCAGCAGUGGGGAAUUUUGGACAAUGGGCGAAAGCCUGAUCCAGCCAUUCCGCGUGCAGGAUGAAGGCCCUCGGGUUGUAAACUGCUUUUGUACAGAACGAAAAGGUUUCUACUAAUACUAGGAGCUCAUGACGGUACUGUAAGAAUAAGCACUGGCUAACUACGUGCCAGCCGCCGCCGUAA